AUGAUUUCUGCCAGCACACACAAUUAUGGCAAGAGUCACACCCGUUGUGGAGCCAAGUUGGUGGAUGACUGGGGUAUACAUGUGGAUUUUUGGAGUGAGCUGCAUGAGGUGCGGGAUCUACAUGUGGGUCCCUGGAUACUUUUCGGAGAUUUUAAUCUCAUCGUCAAUGACGAAGACAAGAGCAAUAUGAACAUAAAUAAAUGUAUGAUGGUGCGGUUUUGAAGGUUGUUGAACUCUAUCGAGCUUAGAGAGAUAUACCUAAAUGGGAGCAAAUACACGUGGACAGAUGAGUGACAUCACGCCACUCUGGUCACGCUUGACCGUUUUUUCGCCUCCACCUCCUGGGAGGAUUGGUUCCCUUCUUGUUUCCCGUCGGCGGCAAGUACAACGACUUUCGAUCAUUGUCCUCUUGGGCUAGACUUGGACGCGGAUUUGCAGUUUGGGAGACGAUUCAGGUUUGAGUGCUUUUGGCCAAAAGUAGAUGUUUUUCAUGGACGUUGUGGAUACUACAUGGCCAGCCGUCCCAUCGCAGGGAAACCUAUUUGUGGUGCUUCAUAA
RNAcentral lists this ribosomal RNA (558 nucleotides) under Triticum aestivum (bread wheat). RNAcentral describes it as "partial small subunit ribosomal RNA". The record is from RNAcentral. Lineage: Eukaryota; Viridiplantae; Streptophyta; Magnoliopsida; Poales; Poaceae.